This 496-nucleotide ribosomal RNA is filed under the name Clostridium sp. A4-61. RNAcentral describes it as "bacterial SSU rRNA". It matches the Rfam family "Bacterial small subunit ribosomal RNA", at positions 8 to 521 of the family's 1533-position model. The record is from RNAcentral. Lineage: Bacteria; Bacillati; Bacillota; Clostridia; Eubacteriales; Clostridiaceae.
AGAGUUUGAUCCUGGCUCAGGACGAACGCUGGCGGCGUGCCUAACACAUGCAAGUCGAGCGAGUGAAUCUCCUUCGGGAGUGAAGCUAGCGGCGGACGGGUGAGUAACACGUGGGCAACCUGCCUCAUAGAGGGGAAUAGCCUUCCGAAAGGAAGAUUAAUACCGCAUAAGAUUGUAGCUUCGCAUGAAGUAGCAAUUAAAGGAGCAAUCCGCUAUGAGAUGGGCCCGCGGCGCAUUAGCUAGUUGGUGAGGUAACGGCUCACCAAGGCGACGAUGCGUAGCCGACCUGAGAGGGUGAUCGGCCACAUUGGGACUGAGACACGGCCCAGACUCCUACGGGAGGCAGCAGUGGGGAAUAUUGCACAAUGGGGGAAACCCUGAUGCAGCAACGCCGCGUGAGUGAUGACGGCCUUCGGGUUGUAAAGCUCUGUCUUCAGGGACGAUAAUGACGGUACCUGAGGAGGAAGCCCGGCUACUACGUGCCAGCAGCCGCGGU